UAUGUGAUCGUCUCUCGCAUAUCAAUAAGCGGAGGAAAAGAAACUAACAAGGAUUCCCCUAGUAACGGCGAGUGAAGCGGGAAGAGCUCAAAUUUGAAAUCUUAAAGGGUUUCCCUUUACGAAUUGUAGUUUAAAGAAGUGUUUUCUGUUGAGGUUUUGGUAAAAGUUCUUUGGAAUAGGACAUCAUAGAGGGUGAGAAUCCCGUAUUUGACCUUUACUUUCAGCUUUGUGAUACACUUUCAAAGAGUCGGAUUGUUUGGGAAUGCAGUCCAAAAUGGGUGGUAAAUUUCAUCUAAAGCUAAAUAUUGGCGAGAGACCGAUAGCGAACAAGUACCGUGAGGGAAAGAUGAAAAGAACUUUGAAAAGAGAGUUAAACAGUACGUGAAAUUGUCAAAAGGGAAGCGUUUGACACCAGUGUUGUUUUUCUGAAAAUCAAUUAAAGAACUGUUUAUGCUAAGCUGUUUAGACUUUAUCAGCUAUCUGUUUAGUUUUGAGCUUUUCUUUAGUGCACUUUUCAGUUAACAAGUCAACAUCAAUUUCUUUUGCUGUAAAAAAGCUUGAGGAAGGAUGGCUUGAGAUUCGUCUUAAGUGUUUAUAGCCUCUUGCCUAUGCAGUCGGAGAGAUUGAGGUCUGCAGCGUAGAUCCUUCGGGGCUAAAUGCAUUUGUGCUAAGUUAUAGCAUUUUAUAGACAACUUGUUGACUAUGAUUUGUCUUGUAGCUUACUCGCUUAUGUUAUUUUACCUACGCUUAGGAUGUUGAUCUACAGAGCGAGAGU
RNAcentral lists this ribosomal RNA (775 nucleotides) under uncultured Neocallimastigales. RNAcentral's name for it is "partial large subunit ribosomal RNA". It matches the Rfam family "Eukaryotic large subunit ribosomal RNA", at positions 24 to 640 of the family's 3401-position model. The record is from RNAcentral. Lineage: Eukaryota; Fungi; Neocallimastigomycota; Neocallimastigomycetes; Neocallimastigales.